AUCGCUUCUCGGUCUUUUGGCUAAGAUCAAGUGUAGCAUCUCUUCUUACCAGUUUAAUAUCUGGUGAUGAAAUAAUCUGUACAACAAACCCUCA
Macaca mulatta (Rhesus monkey) is the source of this 94-nucleotide small nuclear RNA. Its record names the gene U2. It matches the Rfam family "U2 spliceosomal RNA". From Rfam's summary of the family: U2 is a small nuclear RNA (snRNA) component of the spliceosome (involved in pre-mRNA splicing). Complementary binding between U2 snRNA (in an area lying towards the 5' end but 3' to hairpin I) and the branchpoint sequence (BPS) of the intron results the bulging out of an unpaired adenosine, on the BPS, which initiates a nucleophilic attack at the intronic 5' splice site, thus starting the first of two transesterification reactions that mediate splicing. The record is from Ensembl. Lineage: Eukaryota; Metazoa; Chordata; Mammalia; Primates; Cercopithecidae.